RNAcentral lists this ribosomal RNA (1514 nucleotides) under metagenome. RNAcentral describes it as "bacterial SSU rRNA". It matches the Rfam family "Bacterial small subunit ribosomal RNA". The record is from RNAcentral.
AGAGUUUGAUCCUGGCUCAGAACGAACGCUGGCGGCGUGCUUAAUACAUGCAAGUCGAACGUGAAAGUCCUUCGGGAUGAGUAAAGUGGCGCACGGGUGAGUAACACGUAGGUGACCUGUCCUAUUAUGGGGGAUAACAGUAAGAAAUUACUGCUAAUACCGCAUAAGUAAUAGACGGUUGGAAACGACUAUUAGAAAGAUGGCCUCUAUUUAUAAGCUAUCGUGAUAGGAGGGGCCUGCGGACCAUUAGCUAGUUGGCGGGGUAAAGGCCCACCAAGGCGAUGAUGGUUAGCCGGUCUGAGAGGAUGAUCGGCCACACUGGAACUGAGACACGGUCCAGACUCCUACGGGAGGCAGCAGUAGGGAAUAUUGCGCAAUGGGGGUAACCCUGACGCAGCAACGCCGCGUGAGUGAGGAAGGCCUUCGGGUUGUAAAGCUCUGUCCUUAGGGAAAAAUGGUUUAUGUACUAAUAAUAUAUAAAUUUGAUGGUACCUUAGAAGAAAGCACCGGCUAACUUCGUGCCAGCAGCCGCGGUAAUACGAAGGGUGCAAGCGUUGUUCGGAUUUAUUGGGCGUAAAGGGCGUGUAGGCGGGUAAUUAAGUCAGGUGUGAAAUCUCGGGGCCUAACCCCGAAAGUGCGCCUGAAACUGGUUACCUAGAAUCUCGAAGGGGGAUAGGGAAUUUCGCAUGUAGGAGUAAAAUCCGUAGAGAUGCGAAGGAACACCCGGGGCGAAGGCGCUAUCCUGGUCGAGUAUUGACGCUAAGGCGCGAAAGCGUGGGGAUCAAACAGGAUUAGAUACCCUGGUAGUCCACGCUGUAAACGAUGGGCACUAGUUGUUGGUGUUGAAGAGACAUCAGCGACGCAGCUAACGCAUUAAGUGCCCCGCCUGGGGAGUACGGUCGCAAGAUUAAAACUCAAAGGAAUUGACGGGGGCCCGCACAAGCGGUGGAUUAUGUGGUUUAAUUCGAAGCAACGCGAAAAACCUUACCUGGGUUUGAAAUCCCACAAAUUCUGUAGAGAUAUGGAAGUGCCCUUCGGGGAAUGUGGUGACAGGCGCUGCAUGGCUGUCGUCAGCUCGUGUUGUGAAAUGUUGGGUUAAGUCUCGCAACGAGCGCAACCCUUAUCUUUAGUUGCCAGCAUUAAGUUGGGCACUCUAGAGAGACUGCCCGGGUUAACCGGGAGGAAGGUGGGGAUGACGUCAAGUCCUCAUGGCCCUUAUGUCCAGGGCUACACACGUAAUACAAUGGUCGGUAUAAAGGGAUGCGAGCAUGCGAAUGUAAGCCAAUCUCAAAAAGCCGAUCUCAGUCCGGAUUGGAGUCUGCAACUCGACUCCAUGAAGUUGGAAUCGCUAGUAAUCGCGGAUCCGCAUGCCGCGGUGAAUACGUUCUCGGGCCUUGUACACACCGCCCGUCACACCAUGGGAGUUGAUCCCACCUGAAGUCGUGACUCCAACCUGCAAAGGAGGAGAGCGCCCACGGUGGGGUUAAUGACUGGGGUGAAGUCGUAACAAGGUA